AUUGAACGCUGGCGGAAUGCUUUACACAUGCAAGUCGAACGGCAGCACGGGGCAACCUGGUGGCGAGUGGCGAACGGGUGAGUAAUACAUCGGAACGUGCCCAAUCGUGGGGGAUAACGUAGCGAAAGUUACGCUAAUACCGCAUACGAUCUACGGAUGAAAGCGGGGGAUCGCAAGACCUCGCGCGAGUGGAGCGGCCGAUGUCAGAUUAGGUAGUUGGUGGGGUAAAGGCUCACCAAGCCAACGAUCUGUAGCUGGUCUGAGAGGACGACCAGCCACACUGGAACUGAGACACGGUCCAGACUCCUACGGGAGGCAGCAGUGGGGAAUUUUGGACAAUGGGCGCAAGCCUGAUCCAGCCAUUCCGCGUGAAGGAAGACGGCCUUAUGGGUUGUAAACUUCUUUACUUACGCGAAUAGAGGUUAGUACGAGAUACUAAUAGGAAGGUAGUGUAGUAAAAGCACCGGCUAACUCCGUGCCAGCAGCCGCGGUAAAAGUC
RNAcentral lists this ribosomal RNA (499 nucleotides) under uncultured bacterium. Its description in RNAcentral is "bacterial SSU rRNA". It matches the Rfam family "Bacterial small subunit ribosomal RNA", at positions 30 to 526 of the family's 1533-position model. The record is from RNAcentral.